AGUGAACGCUGGCGGCGUGCCUAACACAUGCAAGUCGAACGAGAACGGAAUAUAGCUUGCUAUAUUUGUCAGCUAAGUGGCGCACGGGUGAGUAAUGCAUAGAUAACCUGCCCGUAAGAAAGGAAUAACAGUUGGAAACGACUGCUAAUGCCCUAUAUGCCUUUAAUACAUAAGUAUGCAAGGGAAACGCUUUAGUGCUUAAGGAUGGGUCUGUAUGGCAUCAGGUUGUUGGUGAGGUAAUGGCUCACCAAGGCUAUGACGCCUAACUGGUUUGAGAGGAUGAUCAGUCACACUGGAACUGAGACACGGUGCAGACUCCUGCGGGAGGCAGCAGUGGGGAAUAUUGCACAAUGGACGAAAGUAUGAUGCAGCAACGCCGCGUGGAGGAUGACACAUUUCGGUGCGUAAACUCCUUUUAUAUAGGAAGAUAAUGACGGUACUAUAUGAAUAAGCACCGGCUAACUCCGUGCCAGCAGCCGCAGUAA
This 485-nucleotide ribosomal RNA is filed under the name uncultured bacterium. RNAcentral describes it as "partial 16S ribosomal RNA". It matches the Rfam family "Bacterial small subunit ribosomal RNA", at positions 29 to 523 of the family's 1533-position model. The record is from RNAcentral.